GGGGGUAUUAGCUAAUAGCAAAUGGGAAUGCAAGUACACAUAUCCCAGUAACUUCUAUGAUAUAUUAUUGCUUUCAGCUUACAUCAUAUUCCCAAAAAGCUUUAGGCCAACAUUGAUAUCAACACUUACUCCAGUUUCUAGGGCUCUAAGAAUAACCAGGCAUUGUCAGUAAUCAUCUGUUUUGAUUCACGUCUAAGUAAAAGAUGGGGGAAAAGAUUCUCAAACUCAAAACUGAGUUCAUCAGCUCCACACUCAUCCCAAAGUAGUGCCUCCAUAUUUCCGGUCUCUAUAAAUGAUAACAUCAUCCAUCUAGUUACCAUGUCAUAGAAUGAGCUCAUACUCUAGAAUACAAAAGGUCAAAGUGGUAAAGUGGUUAAGAGGAAGAACACUAGAGCCAAACUUUCUGAGUUCAAAUACUGUCUUUAUCAUUUAUUUUCUCUUUGACAUUAAGCAAAAUACUUAGCUUCUCAGUGAUUGUUUCCUUAUUCAUAAAGCAGGGAAGAUAAUACUACUUGCCUCAAACAAAUAUUAAAAUUUAUAGAGGAUGAGUUAAUAUUUAAAAAGUGCAUAGACCAUGGCUUGACACAUAAGGAUUAUGUACAUAUUUAUUAAAUAAAUUUAAAUAUGUGUCAUCCUGAUAGCCUCAUCAAUAUCUUGGGGUCUUUGUCUAAUAGGCUUAUAUCUUAUCCUCUGUCUUCAUUCUUAUUCUUCACAUUCUGUCCUUCAUACUACAUACAGAAUGGUACCCUUCAAUGAGUCUUCUUUGUUGGCUUAUAGGGUAAAGUCCCAACUCUACUUCAUCACUUAUUCCUCCUCAGAUAACCCAUGACCUGAUUUGACCAAGUUCUUCCAUUUUCCUAAAAGGUACUCUGGCAUUAUCUGCCUACCUGUUUUAGUCAACUUUUUUUGCUGCUGAGAUCAAAAGACCUGACAAGAACAAUUUUAGAAGAUAAAAGUUUAUUUGGGUAUCACAAUUUCGGAGGUCUCGGUCUGUAGACAGCCAACUUCAUUGCUGUGUGCCCAAGGUGUGGCAGAACAUUAUGGCCAAGGUUGGCAGAACAUCAUGGCCUACCUCCUCUAGCCAUUCUCUACCUUCUAAUAGUUUGCAC
RNAcentral lists this long non-coding RNA (1109 nucleotides) under Marmota monax (woodchuck). The record is from RNAcentral. Lineage: Eukaryota; Metazoa; Chordata; Mammalia; Rodentia; Sciuridae.